RNAcentral lists this ribosomal RNA (465 nucleotides) under uncultured bacterium. RNAcentral describes it as "partial 16S ribosomal RNA". It matches the Rfam family "Bacterial small subunit ribosomal RNA", at positions 28 to 507 of the family's 1533-position model. The record is from RNAcentral.
GACGAACGCUGGCGGCGUGCUUAACACAUGCAAGUCGAACGGAAAGGCCCUGCUUGCAGGGUACUCGAGUGGCGAACGGGUGAGUAACACGUGGGUGAUCUGCCCUGCACUUCGGGAUAAGCCUGGGAAACUGGGUCUAAUACCGGAUAGGAGCCAUUUUUAGUGUGAUGGUUGGAAAGUUUUUUCGGUGUAGGAUGAGCUCGCGGCCUAUCAGCUUGUUGGUGGGGUAAUGGCCUACCAAGGCGGCGACGGGUAGCCGGCCUGAGAGGGUGGACGGCCACAUUGGGACUGAGAUACGGCCCAGACUCCUACGGGAGGCAGCAGUGGGGGAUAUUGCACAAUGGGCGCAAGCCUGAUGCAGCGACGCCGCGUGGGGGAUGACGGCCUUCGGGUUGUAAACUCCUUUCGCUAGGGACGAAGCUUUUUGUGACGGUACCUAGAGAAGAAGCACCGGCUAACUACGUG